AAUCCUGGGAGCUUUCUUCCACCCCAUUAUGAGUAGCAACCUCUCCUUGUGUCUCAGACUCUCUGUGCAACCUGAUUUGGCCCUAAACAUAGUUAAAUGAUGUGCUUCUGUGUCUGUCUUCACAGCCAACCUGGAAGUUCCCUGGAGGCAGAACCACUUGUUUUUAUGGUCUCCAGACCCAGCCCAUGGAUAUUUUUCACAUGAAUGAGUUAACAAGCCUUGCCCCAGACCACAGUGAGACAGACUUCCAGGAAAUGGAAGGACAUGGGUAAAAGGACAGACAGGGCAAUCUUGGCAUGGAUUAGAUUGAGAUGGAAGUCUAAAGGUAUACCAGGGCUUUGCUGUCCUAUUUACCAAAUGCUUAUAGUUCUAUUACAAUUAAUGCUUGUUUGAUAUUUUGAAUUUGAAGUCACAUCUGACUCCCUUGUUUCUUACAUGCCACCAGCAAAUCCCAUUCACUCUACCUUGCAAAUAUACCUGAUUCCUACCACCCUUAUUCAUGCCUGCUUAGCUUGAGCUAUCACUGCC
This 528-nucleotide long non-coding RNA is filed under the name Marmota monax (woodchuck). Lineage: Eukaryota; Metazoa; Chordata; Mammalia; Rodentia; Sciuridae. The record is from RNAcentral.